RNAcentral lists this ribosomal RNA (371 nucleotides) under uncultured Mycoplasma sp. Its description in RNAcentral is "bacterial SSU rRNA". It matches the Rfam family "Bacterial small subunit ribosomal RNA", at positions 338 to 702 of the family's 1533-position model. The record is from RNAcentral. Lineage: Bacteria; Bacillati; Mycoplasmatota; Mollicutes; Mycoplasmatales; Mycoplasmataceae.
CCUACGGGAGGCAGCAGUAGGGAAUUUUCCACAAUGAGCGAAAGCUUGAUGGAGCGACACAGCGUGCAGGAUGAAGGUUUUCGAAUCGUAAACUGCUGUUAUAAGGGAAGAAAAACUUGGAUAGGAAAUGAUUCAAACUUGACGGUACCUUAUUAGAAAGUGACGGCUAACUAUGUGCCAGCAGCCGCGGUAAUACAUAGGUCACAAGCGUUAUCCGGAAUUAUUGGGCGUAAAGCGUUCGUAGGCGGUUUGUUAAGUCUAGAGUUAAAGACUGGGGCUCAACCCCAGCCCGCUCUGGAUACUGACUGACUAGAGUUACAUAGAGGUAAGUGGAAUUCUUAGUGGAGCGGUGGAAUGCGUAGAUAUUAGGA